Molecule: long non-coding RNA, 33288 nt
Filed under: Panax ginseng (ginseng)
Lineage: Eukaryota; Viridiplantae; Streptophyta; Magnoliopsida; Apiales; Araliaceae
Description: long non-coding RNA (PGIN_LNC008629)
Source: RNAcentral
CUUUUGCGCCUCAGCUAUGUUUGUAAUCAUAAACGCCUUCUCUAUUUCCUUGAUCCAUGUCUGGGCCUCGAUUGGGUCCGUCGUUCCUUUAAACUCAGGUGGACCUACACUUUUAAAUUCCUUAAAGGUAGUUGUUCGGGCUACCCUAGGUACUGCAGGUGCUCUACCCCCAGCUUGGUUAAAUCCAGCCGUUAAUAAAUUAACGAACUCUUGCAUAGAGUUAUUAGGACCCCCCCUGAUUAUUAUUAUGUGAUUCUGCCUCUUGGUUACGUUGUCUUCUUCUUGGCGGCAUUUCUGAUUAAAUAAAUAAAGUCCCGAAUUACUUAUUUUCUUUCUUAGUUACUAGUUAUCGAACACUAAACAAUAACUCAUACACAACAAAGCACAUUAAAAUAAAAACUUCCUUAUAUUAAAAUGCUUCUUUAUAGUUCAAAACUAUUUACACGUUGCGUUCCAUAGCCAAAGGCUAUUACAUUUAUAUCUCGCGAUUGACUUUCAAAAAAUUGGGAUUUACAAAAAGACUACCCUUUAAUUAUACAAAAGAGGGUUUUACGUCACUACAAAAAAUUAUUUACCAUUCUAACUUCUAAUACUGUCUAACAGCAUUCUCAUGCUUCUCGUUAGCUAGAAUCGACAUAAUAUCUCGACUUAUAGUAUGUCGAGUCUAUCCAAACUCAAUAGAAUAACAAGCUAUUUUAAUCUUGAAAUCCUCGUCCGCACUGUCAUUUAUAUAUGACAUUCGUGCUAUCUUCUGGUCUUUUUCAGCCAGUUUCUUACGAAGUUCUAUGACCUCGUUUUUAUAGUCCCUAGCCUUGUCAGUCAUGAGCACUUUCUCAUUAUGCUCUAUCUCAUAGUCUGACUCUGCAGACUCCUUGGCCCCAUAGAGAUAUCAUUGAUCUCCUCCUUCUGGUGUUGCACCAUAUUGUGCAGUUGCACGUUACGGUCAAGCACUGAGAGGUACAUUGCCCUCAUCGUCUCUGUAUGUGUCGACUCUAAGGCAGGUAUCACCGAAUUAAUCGAUGUUACCUCCAUAUCAUCCUCCAUAUCUAUUAUCAUAUUCAGAUAUGAUGAUAUUCCCAUGGUCUCCUCCGAAUAGUCCUCCUUUGAGAAAUACUCCUCGGGCUCUGAUUCUUCUAGAAUCACUAAAGGUAUCUCUGUUACAGGCAUAGGUACUGGCUCUACUCUGUUCAUUGACUCCUCGCUUACCACAUGUAUAUCCCUAUACAUUAGGCUAUCAAUUGACAUCUACAAUAACACAUAACAAAUUGAUUAGUACAUAAUAUACAAUAAUAUAAGCACAAAUCACAUUUAAUUCAUUUAAGGUUACUUUCCAUCUUUUAAAUCUUUCGGUACUGAGAUUCCUCAAUACCUUAUUAACUCAUUUGACUCGAGUUAACUUUCUUUGGACUCUUCCUUUCCUAACGAGGUUAUUAGCCUAAGGUUCUUCCCCCCUUAAGUUUUAUAACCUAAUGCUUUGAUACCAACCUGUGACGCCCCCAAAUCCGGGUAUCUUCAAACCCGACAGAUGGUGAUCCACGAUACUACAAUUCAUAUAGUCAUUCCAUUGAGACAACAACAAAAUGAUUGUAUUUACUAUAUUCUUAUUACAUUCGUAAUAAAUCCUUUCCCAGGUUUAUAACCGAAUACAUUCUUUGUUCUUCAUAAGUAUAUUACAUAAAAAUACAUUAAUCUAUUACAGGACGAUCAAUUGUCCAUUUUAGCCUUGCCUUUAUCUCUCUUAGAACUCUCAGUUCGUUCGGCUUUAGCUGCAAACAUAUAGUUCAAGCAAGAAUGAGCAUAACUAGCUCAGCAAGUCUUAACAAAGAAUCAUAUGAAUAUCACAUUAACAAUUACAUGCUUUACUUCCAUAACUGAACAAUUAAAUAUGAAGCACUAUGAAACAUUUGACUAGUACUUCUUAUGUCAUAACAACAAUUACAAAGUAUAUAUAAUAGCUUCGGAAUUCUGAACCGGUCAAUAGACCAUGAACAUACUCUUUUCAUUUUCAUACUUGAAAAGGACAUCCGGCACUAAUGCCAUCCAUCCGUCUUUACAUACGAGCACUUCUAGGUGAUCAGCCUAUUAUACUCUAUAUUAUUCAACACUCUUCUGUUAAACGUAUUUACGCUUAACAUUUGGCAACCUUGCGUGCCCAUCGAAUAAUCGAUGAAAUUAUUUUUGUUUGUUCAUAGACAAACUUACCUUCUCAUCCGUACCAAAUACUUGGCAUAGGAUAGCGUUAACAGUUCUAUAUCAAAAGACUUGUAACAAAUCAAUCAAUUCUUCAAUACUUGUCUAGCCGAGUUAAAACGGGCAUCGACUCUUUCUUUAAAACCAUUCAUGCAUCUUAUAACAUAAAUCACAUAAAACUUGACUAACACGAAGGUUAGGCAAGCGUUAAGAAAGACUUUCCUUCAAGUGUCUUCGAAUAUAAUAUUCAAUCAAUUCUCAGUCUUUACAGAAUCUACAUGAUAUAUUCAUAUAGCACAUUGUAAUUAGUUGUUAAAAAAACUAAUUUUAUUUGUUCUAACCAACUUCUUUCAAGUCGAUUCGACUUUCUAUACUUUGUUACAGCUCAUUAGCGUUCUUACGUUAUUAAUCGAUAUUCGAUCAUUAUUGGUGAAGUACCAACGUUGAAUGUCAUUUACGGUUUACUUAUUACAUUCUCGCGUUUCUUCGUUUAAUUUCUAUUAAACCUUACUAAAUCUUCUAACAUUAUCACCUUAUAAGUGAUUUAAGGUCAGCUUGAUUAUGUACAUUAAGUACCUUCAAUGUCUUACUUUAGGUCUACAUUCAAAUGAAACAAAAACCUAACUUGGUCAACAUUUUUACAUUGUCGGCGCUGCGGUGCGACAUCCCUAGUACAACUCGGCGCUGCGGCGCAAGUUAACAGGGGACAAGGCCGCAUCUGGCGCUGCGACGCGGCCAUUUUUACUUGUUUUGGCACUGCGGCGCCGCCUCUGUACACCAGUUGGCCAAAACAGUUUGGUUUUCUAACGAAACUUCCGGCUUCAUAAUUUGUUCAUUUUACAUCUGAAUUGACCCAUUCGAAAGCCUACAACUCACAAAUUACAUCCUUUAAGUGUUCAUAUAAGAAUUUUACACUUUCGAAUUCGUUAACUCGGAAUUCACCUUUGAGUUCAUUUUUGAGCAUUCAUUUAACAUUUUCGACCGUUCAAUACUCGUUUUCUUCGUUAUAAGUCAGAAUUAGACGAUUCUUGUGUCCACGACUCUUAAAUACCUUAUCUCACGUGUUGACAUUGAAAACCGAUGUUUUCAAGUCACACAGCAACUUUUGACCUUUAAUCUGAGAUUUUUACAUUUUUGACGUUUAACGUCUAUUUUUGCAAAAUUCGUCAUAACUUUGUUACUCGUGUUCUAUAAGCCAAAUCAAAUGGAACACUCCAUUGAUUCACCAUCUAUAUCCUAACCAAACAAUAUACACAUUCCUUAGCUAUAACGGUUUUUAAAUCGUUCAUUCAUAACUAAGUUCACGUUCAAGACUUUCUACAGUUUUUAACUCACGUAAACACUUACGAUUUCUAUUUGGUCAUGACCUAUCAAUGAUUUGAUCAUUAAUAGACAUCCUUAUCUCUCCUCCAUAAACAUGCUCCACCAAUCUACGAUUUUUCUACGAGAAAGAAAUCAAAAAAGAUGAAGAUUACGGUUUAUGAGAAUUUACCUUUGACGUACUUCACGUUCUUGAUAAACGUCUAAAGGUUUGCUUGGAAGUAAAUUGAUUAAGUGUUUCUAGCUCUUUUUAUCUCUCAAUAUAUAUUGGUCAAGCUUUGUAAAUCAACAAAAUAACCAACACAAGUCUUGUAUUUAUAGAAAACCAACAUGAGGGCAAAAUGGUCCAUUUCCUCACCUCCUUACUAUUCCCUACUUUAUCACAAAGUAAAGUACUUGGUGAUCAAGUAUUACCUUUACUUGGCCAUCAAGUGGCCGGCCCACUCCCUCUUGGGUCAUCCCAUGGGUUGCCCCCAUGGGUUUUACCCAUCCCAUGACUCGUCGGUUCGACCCGCGAUUUAACUUCUUGGAUUGGACUUGUCUUUAUUUAAUAUUGGGCCUUGACUUGGGCUUGUUCACUCAAUUCAUUAGGCUUGCUAUUAGUCCAAGUCCAAUUAGAUUAUGCCAAAGUCCUUAACUCCUAAUCCAUUAGAACUUUUCGUAUUCUAUACGUAUAACUCAUGUAUUCUCUUCAUCUAAUACUCAUAUGAUAUUCGUAUUAUACGUCGUAUUAUUCUUCAUACCAUACUCGUAUUCAUACUAGUAUAUCAUACUCGUAUAUCAUACGUAUAAUCACCGAAAUGAGUAUACACAUUACAUUUUUCCUUUCAGAAAUCUCUUUCACAAACCCUUAGGUUUUAAGUCCGCAGGCGAAAACUUUGUUUGCCAUAAUGGAAAUAUUAUUGGAUAUUCCACAAUAUCUUUAUAUUCUAUCAUUACGCGUUUCUCGAAAUUUUAAAUCUAAGCUCCGAACGAAAUCGGAUGAAUAGUGUUUUUACGGGAAACUUCUCGGAAAAUAUUCCUUUUCGUCUUGAUAAUUCACAACAAUUAAUCCUUGCACGAAACUAGAAUACUAACCACAUCAGUAUAUUCUAGGUCAUAGAAAUGACCUUUGAAUAUCUUAUUCACAUAAUUAAUCAAUUAAAUUCAUUUAAUCCCCAUAAUCAAAUAAAAUUUUAAUUCAUUAAAAAAUCGAAAUUCUCGGGCGUUACAAUAACAUUAUCUCAAAUCCACAUCAUAAUAUUCAAAAAAAUAUUUCGACAAAAUUAAAUCUUUAUUCAUAAAUUUUGGGGUCUUACAAUCUCCCCUCCUUAUGAAAUUUUGCCCUCGAAAUUUACGUACGUACCUAGUAUGCCGAACAGAUGAGGAUACCUCGUCAGAUUCUAACUCUUGAGGUAUAACCUUUGAGCGUAAAAUAUGUUUCUUCGUAUCCAAGAUUUUAAUAGGUACCUCUUCAUAUGUUAAAUCUUCUGUUAUCUCGUCCGGUUCUAAUUCAAUAAUGUGGCUUGGGUGGUCCAAAUAUUUACGUAACAUCGAUACAAAAAAAAUGUUAUGAACACGCGACGUACUUGGCGUUAAAACGAGUCUAUAGGCCACAGUUCCUGUAAGACCCCGAAUUUUAUGAAAUGAAAGUAUUCAAUUUUCUUAUAAUUAUUAUUUUAUUUCGUAAAUGGUUAAAUUGAUAAAAGUUUAAAGUUAAGGGUGAUAUGUGAAAAUUUUUGCAAAGUAAGCAAGUUGUUAUAUAAUAUUCGAUUGGUCGGGGAAUAUUCGUACAACAGCACAAUCAUUGGUGGACCCCACAACAGAAUUAUUGUCGGAGUUAGAAAAUGACAAAAUUAUCUUUUUAUAAAAAUAAUGGCGAAAGUUUUACCGUUAAUUGUUAAAACACUCGGUGUUAAAAGUAUAGUAAUACGCGUGGUUGUAUAGUAGCACACGGUAUUGAUUAUUGAUGCUUACGUGAGAAGUCACACAGUUUUGUUCAAUUAUUGCUACAGUAAUUGCUGCAUAGUGUUUGCAUAGUAAAAACUUUUUAUAUAAAACAGAAUACUUUUUAUAAAGUUUUAUUUUAUUUGAUUAUAAAUAGAAUAUAUUAUAUUUUAUUGCAUAGUACAUCAUAGUAUCAUUUACAUUCUCCUAUAAAUAGGAUGCUUAGUUAGAAUUGAAAAUCACACCAGAAGUUUAGAGAAUUCUUCUUCUAUAAUCUUGAGCGUAUUUCUUUAGAGUUUAAGAAAGCUUUGAGCGUAGAAAAUAGUGCAAGUUUUCUUUAAGUAUAUCCCCGCCCUACCCAUCGGAAUACUCUUCUUUUUAAGGUAAGGGAUAUUAUUAUUAUAGCAAGGGGUAUUAUUUCUUUCAUAUUCAUGAAGAGAACUAUUGUUAUUCCAUUCUUUAUUAUUUUGUUAGAAUAACCUGUAUACGCGGACUACCGUAUACAUGGUGAAAUUCUUCUGUUAUUCCAUUCUUUAUUAUUCUGUUGGAAUAACAUGUCUGUGCGGUCUAUCACAUGCCUGGUGAAUUCUGUUGUUAUUCCAUUCUUUAUUAUUUUGUUGGAAUAUCAUGUCUGUGCGGAUUACGCAUGACCUGGUUCCAUUCUUUAUUAUUUCUGUUGGAAUAACCUGUCUGUGUGGUCUAUCGCAUGAAUGGUGAAUUCUUCUGUUAUUCAGUUGGAAUAACCUGUCUACGUGGACUACCGCAUGCAUGGUGAAUGACCUUUCGUAUUCAUUCUUUAUUAAAUUGUGGAAAUUAUCUGUCUACGUGGAUUACAGCAUGGCGGAUGAAAAUCCAUUUGUAGUUUAGUAUAUUAUAUUAUACUCGUAUGAGAUAUCAUUUCUUUUGUAAUCGUCAUGAAAUAUCAUUUUAUUUGGUAUUUUAUUUACGAGUUACUAUUCACAAGUUACUAUUCACCCAGUUACUAUUCACUCUAGUAUUAUUCACUUGGGUAUUCAGGGCACUUUUCGUGUCGGAGUACUAUUCACGAGUUACUAUUCACGGGUUACUAUUCACCCAAAUUAUUAUUCACCCAAAUAUUAUUCACACGGGUUUUUCGGGCACUUUUCAUGUCGGGGUACUAUUCACGAGGUACUGUAACAAUCCAAGAUUUUAUUUGUAAUUUAAAAUAUUUAUUAAAUUAAAUAAAUAUUUUAUUGAUGAAGUUGUUGUUUUGUAAUUUAAAAUAUUUCUUAAAUUAAAUGAAUAUGUGAUUUUUGUUAGUAAAUAUUUAUAAAUUAUAUUUAUUAGAUAAUAUUCUAAAUUAAUUUAAUUUAUAUUGUUGUAAGAUAACAUGAGAUGUUAUAUUUCUGUUGUGAUGUGAUAAAUUAAGAUGGUAUAUUAAAUUAUUAAAUAAAAUUAUAAUAAAGUUAUAAUUUUGUGAUGUUUGUUUAAGUGGAGUAUUUAUUUAAAAUAUAGUAUGUAUAAUUAUUUUAUUUGAUUAAUGUUGGAUAUGGAAAUCCAAAUAAAUAGUAUGUGAUUAUGAAUUAUAAACUAAAUUGUUUAUUAAAAUAAAAUUAAAGUAGUUUAAUUUAGUUUUGACCAAACAAGACUUAAAUAUAUUAAGUCUUUAUUUUAAAGACUUUUUGCCAAACAAAGCCUUUUUGGCUUUUGGAUUUCUUUUAAUAUUUGAAUUAUAAAUAAAAUAUAUUAAAUAAUAAAUAUAAUAUAAUUAUAUCAUAUACGUUAAUAGUUUGUAACUGGUAUUAUAUUAAGUAUGUGUAUUAAGCCAUAUCGGUUUAUUUUAGUUUACGUAUACUUUUAUUUGCUAAGUGUAAGAAUUACACAGAACUUGAGAGAGAAUUGAGAUAGAUUGAGAGAAAACCUAAGAAAUUUCAGUGUUUAGCAAGGGAUUAUUAAGCAAAUUGAAGGUAUGUUCUAUAACUUUGAUAUUAGAUAUGUAUAUGUAUGAAUACGGCAUAAAAUUUCUAGGUCCUGUGAAUCCAAUUUGUCUUGAAUGGUUUUUAUAAACUGAAUUAUUGUAUCUAUAUGUAUUUGUGGUGUUAGAACUAGUAUGUAGUCAAGAAUUAUUGUGCUACUUUCGGUUAAAAGGAAGGAAAAGUAAUCACAGUAUAUAUUUUUCAUAUGGCUUGUGAAAGUACCAAUUAUGGUAGUCAAUUAGUAUGAUAAACUGUAAAUUGAGUCUUGUUUAUGCUAGUUCGUCAAGAAACAAAGAGAACGUAGUUUGAACGAAGUGAUUCGGUGUAGAAUUGUAAUCAUAGUGAUGAUUUUUGUAAAGAAUGUCAAAAAUGGUGUUUUUGUAUGAAAAUAUAGAAUUUGAGAAAUUAAACUAGUGCAAGUUGUUGUUAAUUUGUUCUAAUUGGUUGUAAAUGUUAGUAAACAUGUUUAUGAUAGUUGUAUACUUAUUUUAUGUGUUAAUUUCACUGUUUGAUGGGUGAAAUUCGUGUUAGUUGGGCUAAAGUCGGCUACUGUUCAUAGCCUUUCUGGUUCUGUCUAUGCACUGGCGCAGCUGCGCCGGUGCCAAGGCCAGAAACGGCGCAGCUGCGCCAGUCCCAGGCUUGUGUAUGGCACAGCUGCGCCAUACCCUGUCUUGAGACAGUGAGGUCUACUGCUACUGUAGACUUUGUAACACCACUAUAACUUGGUCUAAGGUUAUGUUAAUGUGUCAAAUGUGUAACGACAAGGUUAAAACAACAUUGUGUUCUGUGGUUAGUGAUUCUAAAGCUAUAAGAAGUUAGUAAACUAUGAAAAUGACAUGUUGUGAUUUAUUGAGAAUGAGGAUUAGUAAAUAAGUAUUAUGAAGGUUAACACUUGAAAUUUCUAACAUUUAUAUAGUAGCAUAAGACUUGUACUAAAUUAACAAGUUUAGCUAUAAUGGGUGUUAUUUUGGAAGUGGAUGUUAACAUGUCUAAUAGAUAUUGUGAUUGCACUAAAAUGUGUAGGAUAUUGGAGUACGUGAAUUGUAAUUGUAUAGCUUACGCAAGAGGCAAGUUCCCUAACCUUUGCUACUUUAUUAUUCAGCAAGGUUACUUUUCACUAUUACGUUAUACUUAUGCAGAUUCUCUAACUCUAACCUCUUGUUUGACGAUUUAUUGUCAUGCGAAUUCUUUAACUCUCAUUUAGUUGUUGAACAAGUUAGUUAAUCUUUAUUUCUUUAUUUCAAACGAGAUUACCUUGUUCAUUCAAAGUCAGUAAUUUUGUUUAUUCAGCUAUUAAUAACUGUUGUAUGAUCUUCGUUCUCCAAUAUCAUUGUACUAUCUUACAUUAUUGUAGCGGACUCUAAGUUGUCUAGCGAUUCUUUACCAACUCAACUAAUCCUUAGUGGAUGAAUGUUCUAAACUCUAAAUUACCUUUGAAGUCAACUCAAACCAAACUUCCUUUGGUUUGCUUAUGUACUCACACAAUUUUGAAAGCAUGUUGUCGAGGAUAACAUUUGUUCAAUUUAGAAACUGUUAAUACUCUAGCUUUUAUUGAUUCAUCGAUAUACCUUGUUCAUGAAGAUAUUAUAUUCAAAUUCUUGAAUAAUUAUUGGUCUCCGUCUUAUUCAACCAGUACUUGGUUGAUGAACAUUCUAAAGAUCUAAAAUUCCUUUAAAGUUAUUUCCCAACCAAACCUCAUUUGGUUCAGAACCUGAUGAUCUAAGCUGAGAUGAACAGCCCUAUUAUUAGGGGAUUAUUUUAGAAAUACGCAAUAGCGUUAAAAUGUUUGCGCAAUACAUAGUACAAAGGGCUGAUCACUUGGAGUACGGAAUGAUGGUCCAUAUAGUCAUUUAGACUAUUAACGGUUACAGUAGAAACACCUGUUAACCUAGGACGAAGAUGAUGAUUAUAGUCUUUUAGACUAUUAAAGGUUAAAGUAGAAAUACUUGAAACCUAGUGUAUAAUUCGUGGUCUUGUGACCCUCAGUGUAUUCUUUGAUGUUGAUAACUAUUGUUAAAUUAAUGUUCAUUAUUCCUUUGAACAUAUAGUUGUUGAAUUAAAUUUUAUUGUUCCGAUAAGAAUACUUUACCAUUGAAAACUCAGUGAAUUAUCAUUCAUAAACCGUUAUUGUAUAUUAUCCUUCUUGUGGGCAAUUGUUUGCUCACUCUUGCACAAAAUAAUGUAGAUGAAGUUAAGAAGUUUGAAGCGUUUUCUACAAGCAAGAGCAAGGACAAAGUGAUUAAUUAGACGACAACGUUUAAGUUAUCUUUUAUCUAUGAAGCUUAUGUACUAGAUCUAAUUAUGAUCAUGUUUUAAUUUUCGUCGAUGAUUGUAUUAAAGGUUAGAUGACCUGGGAUUUAUCUUGAGAUUAUGUAACCCUUGAUGGGAGAUUUAUUAUUUAAGCUUUUGAGUUUAAUUAUAUCCUUUGUUUAUGGGUAGUUAGUUAUGAUUUGAUUGGACAGUGAACACCAAAUCUGUGGAAUUGAAGUACCCGGAUUUGGGGGUGUCACAGGUACUAUUCCCGAAGUACUAUUCAUGGGGUACUAUUCACGGGUACUAUUUACCUGAAAAAUAUAUUUCUUUUCUGUCCAAAUUAUUUUUGGUACAAUAUUAUUCUUGAAUUUUACUCUACAAAACAGUAUCAUGUUGACAAUUUGGACGUUAUUGAUUUCUGAAUAAAUUAAAUUAUAAAUCUUUAAAAUUUUAUCCUUGAACUUGUUUUAUUGAAUUCUUAUAUCAUUGUCAUCAUACUCAUGUUUAUAAUAUGUUGGAAGUCAUCUAUGGCCUGUAGUGCAUAGAUGGACUUGGUAUGAUUAUGACCAGGGAUUAUUCGGUAUAAUCAUGACCGCAAUGUUACAAAUGAUGUGGAAAAAUUCCCCAUUGGCCCGUAGUGCAUUGAUGGACAGUUUUUGGUAUGAUUAUGGCUAUGGAUUCUCCUCGGCCAAGGGUGCAAAGAUGAAUUAUUUUAUGGCAUGAUCAUGACCGUUGAUGAAAACACGAAUAUCUUUGGCCCGUAGUGCAUGGAUAAUUCGUGGUCAUGAUACUAAUGAAUAUCUUUGGCCUGUAGUGCAAGGAUGAUUCGAUGAUGUGGAUUAAUUAUUGAGCUGAGUCUCAGCGAUGAAAUAUUAAUUCAUGGAUGUGAUAAUAAUAAAUAUCAUUAGCCGUAGUGCAUGGAUAAUUCAUGGAUGUGAUACUAACGAAUAUCCUUGACCGUAGUGCAUGGAUAAUUAGGUGAUGUGGAUUAUUUAUUGAGAUGAGUCUCAGCGAUAAAAUAUUGAUAAUAGACUUUUAAUUCGUAGAAGAUAGUAGAUAUCAUGCUCUACUUGACUCUUCUAAAAUACAGUUGCAUGUCUUUGGCCUGUAGUGCAAGAAUGAACUGUUAAUGAAUAUCUUUGGCCCGUAGUGGAAAUAUGAAUUUAUUAGUAUGAUUAUGGACAGGAAUUGUGAUUUGGUAUAACCAUGGUAUUUGAUAUUUCAGGUAAAGACAGGUGAUGAAAAUUAUCUUCGUCCUAAGUGCGAAGAGGAAUUUAGAACCACAAUUAUUAUUAUGAGUUAUUCAUCUGAUUGUGGACAGGAAUUGUUGACUGAUGUUACAGGGAUAAAAUAUUGUUGGUGGAUUUUUAACGUGGAGAAGAUAAUAGACUUUAUGGUCUAUUUGACUCUUCUAAUGGAUUGUUCGUUCCGCUACAACUAUGGUUGAAAAGUUUUAUCAUCUGCCAUAUGUUCUAAAUCUCUGAUUCAUUACUGAUGAAGGCUAUUGAUAAUUUAAUUAUCUUUAGUCAUGAUAUUCUUUACUGGGCUAGUUGUGCUCACCCUUCUGCUUCACAAUUCCUUUCAGGUAAUAAGAGUGUAGCUGGGUCGAGCGGGGAUAACAGGAGAAUAGAACGGUGGUCUAUAGUUGUUGAGGUUCUCCCUAAAUAGUAUGGAAAUAAUUUUGUUGAGAACUUUAGAUAAGUUUGUCGUAUUGUAUACGUCAUUUGAUAUUUAAUUUUGGUGAACCAAAUAGGGUGAGGUGAACCCAACUUUGGAAGGGUAUUUUGCCACUAUCAUACAAGAUGCCUAAUGACAUACAACACCGUGUUAUCAUAAGACAUGGUUGUGCACAUCCACUUGCUGAGUAUAUCUAUGAGCACUACCUAUAUGAUCUCGGAGUAUAUUUGAAAUAUAAUUUUCACUUGGAGACAACGGAGAUAAUUAUAUAUCAAGAGAAGACUCACAAUUGGAAAGAAGAUGAUAGUAAUCUUCUUAUUUUUCUUUGGGGACUUUUAGGUCAACCAAGGGUAAUUCUGUGGACAUAUGAUAUCUAUCAUAACCUAGAUGCAUGACCUCUCAUGUACGAAGGUUUUCUUGAGCACUUCCCAAAGAUUUUAAUUUCUAAAACAGUUUUUGACUGUACUUUUAUGUAAAGUACCAUUGUAAGGUUGUGGUCGAGGCACCAGGAGAGUUACAUACAUUAGUGUUAAAACUCGCAGCUUAUCUAUUGUCGUACUCUGCACGACAGUUCAACAGUUGUAUAAAUGAAGUUUGUAUUUGAUUUUUAUAGUGCGAUAUCUGGCGACUUAAGAUGGGUGAUGUAUACCUAUUUUGGGGGCGUCACAGUUCCUACUUGAUAGAGGAUUUCAAAUAGAACAAUUAAAUCGAGGGUUGAGAUUUCCUCUCUUCGUCAAUUCUUGCUUCUAGAAUAACGCCCUCUUGAACCUUCUUCUUCACAUUCAUCAACUCUGAGUCUGUAGUUUAAGUGGCUUUAACUUUAUCGAUUAAAGUAUGUUCUAAUCGUAUAUUUAACAUCAUCACGUGGGUCUCUAGAGUAAGUCAUACGAAAUGGGUUUUUGUGUUAACAACGUUGCACUCGUAACUGCAUACGAUCUUCUACUCAACGCGUCAGUUACCACGUUCGCUCUUCUACGAUGAUAUUGAAUGGUAUGGUCGUAAUCUUUAACAGCUUGAGCCAACUUCUUUGGCGCAUGUUACGUUCAUUUUGGGUGAAGAAAUAUUUGAGGGUUUUAGAAAUGGGUUUUGUACUGGGGUCAAAUUUAAACGUUGAGUGCAAGUAGGAGAAAUAAAAGAAUGGGUAGAACCGAUAUCGAAUAAGGUAUAAACUUCGCAAGAGUUUAUGAUUAACUUACCCGUAAUAGCUUCGUUCGGGUUCCUCGACAAACGCUCUCAAUUAAACUACCGACUUUGACUUGUCUGAGACAUCCUUUGGCGUCACCAUCCCAGCUGGACUUGACUUCACUACACGACAAAAUCGAGCGAAGUAACCUUCUCUUCCGCAAUUGAAACACACUUUGGGUUGCUGCGUACAGUUUGGACGAAUAUGUCCCUCCUGUUCGCAUUUGAAACAUAUGACCAGUGGUCGUUCUUCUUCCUUGGAAACGGGCGCUGCUUUCUUUCCAUCAUUAUUGAACUUUCUCUUCUUGAAGUUGUUCUCACUUAGUUCAACUUUCUUAUUAUCCUGACCAUGAUUACCACCGAAGUGGUUACCAUUUCUGGCAUAUUGAUUCCCUCCACCUUUGUUGUCACCGCUUCGAUGACUGUUACCAUUGGUAUUUUCUAUUUGCCGGUUGUUCUCUUUUGGUUGGGUUGACUCGUUAUUGCGCUCCAAUAACUGAGCCCUAUUUAUAACAUCUGAAUAAAAAUACAGUUUGUGAGAAAUAAGGUAUUGACGUAUCUCUGGUUUCAAACCUCUUAGAAACAUCCACGUCAUUCUCUCCUUAUUAUCAACCAAAUGGGAUGCAAACCGAGACAACUCAGCAAACUUAGCUUCGUACUGCGAUGCGGUCAUGUUGUUUUGCUCCAGCUUGAUGAACUCUACCUCUUUCAUGUGACGAAUACUUUCGGGACAGUACUUGUCGUUGAACAAUUCUUGGAACUUCUCCCAAGACAUCUUGAGUGCGUCAGGCUGGGUACGUUUUACAGAUUCCCACCAAUGAUCUGCUUCUUCACGCAACAUAAAGGUGGCGAAUGGAACCUUUUGCUCUUCUGAGCAUUCCAAAACAUCAAAUAUCUUGGUGAUCUACUUUAUCCACGUCUCUACCUUAAGUGGUUCUUGCUUUCCCAAAAACUCUGGUGGUCCCAGCUCCUUGAAUUUCUUAGCGGUGACCAACCGUGGGUUGCCAUUGUUUUCACCUGCAUUAUGAAUAUGAGUCUCUCGCGUUUGGUGUUGCAUGAACUGCACAAAGCCUCUGAACAUCCCAUCGUUCAUCAUUUGGUCCGUGUUGUUGUUCACCUGAGGAUUGUUGCCUUCCCGCACAUUAUCCUGGUUAUUGAUCUGUGGUGACUCAACGGUCUCUUGUGCUCCAUUUCUUAUCUCAACAUUUUCAGAUGCCAUUUUACUAUCACAAAACAAGGGUUAAUUGACAUGCCACAUAUUAUCCCUCUACUCUGACUGACCAGUUAAAUAACAAAUAAGUUUAGGUAGGUUAUACUAGCGAAGCAAUUACCCGCCUCUCCCUUCCUAGUUCUAGUCUCACAUCUCAGCCAGGGAUCAUAUCCCUAAACUUUGAUACCAACUGUGACGCCCCCAAAAUAGGUAUACAUCACCCACUCUGAGUCGUCAAAUACAUGGUACAGAAUACAAAUACAAACUUAAAUAUACAACGAUCGUGUAAAGUACGACAAAAUAUAAGCUGGGAGUUUCAACAUGAAUAUUAUCUUCUAGACAAUAUCCAAACUCAAAUUCAAUAUUAUUACAUUUAUUUUCACACUAUUUCACAAAAUAGUGAGGACUACUAAUGCAAACAUCUGGACCGUCACUCCGUUCCCUGACUAGUCCCAGCUAUAUUCUCAUUUCCUGAAGAGAACAAUGAAAGUAAAAGGGUGAGCUCAACUAACCUAGUAAAAAAAAAUAUUAUGGCUAAGAUAAUGCAGAAUAAAUUAUCAUUAGCCUUCAACAGUAUAACAACUGAUAGAAUAUAAUAGACAACAAGUUUUAGAUCAACAACUGCAGCGGAAUAAGCAAUCCAUUAGAAGAGUCAAGUAGAACAUGAUAUCUACUAUCUUCUAUGAUUUAAAAAGUUUAUCAUCACUUUUAUCGUUGAGACUCAGCUUAAUAAAUAAUUCACAUCAUCGAAUCAUCCUUGAACUACGAGCCAAGGAUAUUCUUUAGUAUCACGACCACGAAUUAUCCAUGCACUACGGGUUAAGGAUAAUUGUGUUUUCAUCAACGGUCAUGAUCAUGCCAUAAAACAUUUUAUCUUUGCACCCUUGGCCAAAGAGAACCCAUGACCAUGAUCAUACCAAAAACUGUCCAUCAAUGCACUACGAGCCAAUGAGGACUUUUACCACAUCAUUUAUAACAUUACGGUCAUAAUUAUAACGAUAAUCUGUGGUCGUGAUCAUACCAAGUCUAUCUAUGCACUACGACCAAAGAUGACUUUCAUAACAAUAUAAGCAUGAGGAUGAUGACAAUGACAUAAUAAUUCAAUAAAACAAAUUCAAGGAUAAAUUUUAAAGAUUUAUAAUUUAAUUUAUCCAGAAUUCAAUAAUAUCCAAAUUGUCAAUAUGAUACUGCUUUGUGGAGUAAACUUCAAGAAUAAUAAUGUAUCAAAAAUGAUUUGGACCGAAAAGAAAUCAAUUUUUGUCAUGAAUAGUACCCCGUGAAUAGUAACUCAUGAAUAGUAACUUGUGAAUAGUAACUCGUGAAUAGUAACUUGUGAAUAGUAAUUCGGGAAUAGUAUCCCGUGAAUAGUACUUCUUCAUGAAAAAGUUAAAACUUAUUAAGAAUGCCUAAAAUAAUAUUUCCAUGAAAAGAUACUAGAUGAAGCGCAAAUAUCAAGGAUAUUCUAUUAAUUUCAUGGAGUAUAGAAGCCAAAAUUUAACCAAAUGAGUAUAGAAUUCGAAAUCUGAAAUGAAAUAAUAUUACUUACAUACUACAGAGUAUGGAAGAAAAUAUUAUUUUAUACGAAUAUUGAACAAAAUAACAUCUCUUACAAAUAUUAAACGAAAAUAAUAUUCCUUUCGAAUAUUGAACGAAUAUAAUAUUCCUUACGAAUAUUAAAUGAAAAUAAUAUUUCUUGCGAAUAUUGAACGAAAUAAUAUUCAUACGAAUACGAAAAAUAAUAUCUCUUCAGAAUAUGAAAUAAAUAAUACCCCUUACCUUAAAAAGAUGAGUAUUCCGACUGGUAGGGCGGGGAUUUUCUUGAAGAAAACUUUCACUAUUUUCUACGCUCAAAACUUUCUAAAACUCGAAAGAAAUACGCUCAAUAUUAUAGAAGAAGAAGUCUUUGAUUCUGGUGUGAUUUUCAAUUCUAACUAAGCAUCCUAUUUAUAGGAGAAUGGAAGGGGUACUAUUUAAGAAAAAAUUCACAAGUGGGCAGAGAAAAUCUCACGGGCAAUUUCUAAAUUUUCACAGACAAACGUUUUUAAAAAAUAAAAAUAUAAUAUUCAAGUAAAACAAAUAACUUUAUAUAUAAUAUAAUAUAUAUUCUAUUUUUUCAUAAAAAACAAAACUUAUUAUAAUAUUUAUAUAUAUAUAUAUAAUAAUUAAUAAAGUAACUCCCUCCUUUCUACGUAAUGUACUCCCUCUCCCCUUUCUGACAAUUCAAUAUAAUUCACAUGUAUAUAUAUAUAUAUAAUACAAACCCUCCAACAUAAGUAAACUCCAACCCACCCCCAUUUCAGAUUUUCCUCCACCCAUGGGCCCCACAUGUGGCCCCACCUUUAUUAUAUUAAAUAAUUUUCUACCGAUUAUUUUGAAAAAUGGGUAAAUGGAGGUCCAUAAAAUAAACAAACAUUACAUCAAAUACUUUAUAAAAAUUCCCUCAAUAUUUUUAGUAACGUCUAUUCAUCAUUAUUAUAACUCGCAAUAUUAACAACCAGAUCGUUCCCAGGAAAGAGGAGGCUUUCCGAUAAGGAUUUCUCCCUAUUGGCGCGCAAUUAGGUGACCAAACCCCUUUCCUCGACAGAAAUUUAUAGACAUUGUUAAUUAUGCAUAUAAUAAUUAGAAUAACUUGUCAUCUCAAUUAUUGAUUUAAUAAUAUAUAAAAUAUCGACAAUAAUUGAAUCAAAUAACGUGAGAUACUAUGCAGCCAUUAUUGUAUCAAUAAUUGAAUAUAACUGAGUGACUUCUCACGUAAGCAUCAAUAAUCAAUACCGUGUGCUACUAUGCAACCACGCGUAUUACUGUACUUUUAUCACUGGGUGAUUCAACAGUUAAACGGUAAAACUUCUGCCGUUAUUUUUAUAAAAAGAUAUUUCUGUCGUUUUCUCAUUCCGACAGUAAUUCCGUUGUGGGGUCCACCAAUGAUUGCGCCGUUGUACGAAUAUUCUAUGUUAAAAAGAAUAUUCCCCAACCAAUCGAAUAUUAUAUAACAACUUGCUUACUUUGCAAAAUUUAUAAAUAUUACCCACAACUAUAACAUUAUCUCAAAUCCACACCAUAAUAUUCAAAAAAAUAUUCUGAGAAAAUUAAAUCUUUAUUCAUAAAUUUUGGGGUCUUACAUUAUCUUUGUUAAAACCAAAGUAAUUUGGUUGAUUCCAGUUACAAAAGUCCUAGGGAGGGAUUGUUAUAGAGUAAUUCUGUGGAGAUGAGUUUAAAGCCUUUGAAUUAAUGAGAGGUAACCUAUAAGUGAAACCCAACUAAAUACUAGAGUAAUAUUUAUAUAUUAGUUUAAUGGAAAGAUGCUUACAGUAAUAACUAUUUAUACACUAGACAUGUAUGAAAAAGAAAUUCUUCAAAACCAUCUCAAAGUUAGUGUAUACUUAUAUGAAGAACAAAGAUAGUAGGGUAAACCUUUAAUGAAUCCUUAUCUAGUUUGAAAGAUGCAGGUCAUGCAAGUGCAUCUAAUUUGAUUCGCCUAUGUAAGUGAAUGAAGUGGGGCCACUUUUGCAAGAUUUCAAGCUUGUUUCUAAGUCACUUAUGAAAUCCAAGAUGUACACACAAGGCCAUAAAUGUGUUUGGUUUCCUUAAACUAUAAGGGGUAUAGUAUAUAUAUAUUAAGCAACAUAUCACUUUAAGAUUUCAUAGUUCAAAUCUAACCCUACUGAGAAUUCUAAUAUUUUGUGAUAUAGACUAUGUAAAGGUUCAAGUUGAUAGACACCUCUUACUUAUGUAUGAUAUGCCUAAAGAGAGAGAAAGUUAACAAAAUAAAGUUACAUGACUUUGAAAAUGGGGGGAGAUUGUUGGAUAUUUUCAAAAUAUGUUGUUAUAUAUAUAAUAAAUAUAUUAUAUUAUUUUAAUAACAAACAGAUGCAUUCGUUCAAUGGUAAAUGUGUGAUUACUAGUUUGAACAGGCGUAAUGUUGAACCGGUGCAAUAGUUCAACUUGGGUCACUAGUUUAAACUAGUGUGAUUGCUAGUUUGAACGAGCGGGUGUAACAUUAAAUCGGUGUAAUGGUUCGAUUUGGGUCACUAGUUUGAACUAGUGUGACCUUUAGAAGGUAUGUAUUUGGUUCAUAUCUUUUCAAAUUGAAAAUGUGCCUUUUUCAAAUGAGUAUUUAGAAUCCUAUAAAUAGGAUUAAAAAACUCUCAUUCGCAUAUGAAAUUUUUCCACAAGAAAUGAAUGUUUCAUAAUUCCUUUAAGGAAUUUUGGUUUAUUAUUUCCUUCUCUAUCUCUCUCUCAAAUUAUAGUUUUGAAUUAAAUAUUAUCAUGCACAUAGUAUUUAAUAAAUAUUAAUCUAUGGGUUUGUUUUAUCUUGGGAGAUUAAUUCGUUGUAACCCUAUGAAAUUCAUAUAGGGGGGGCGAAUACUAUCUUAAGGAGAAAAUGAACUUUCAUUCAAUUUAGGGGGCAUAGUUAUUAUUGGGAAUUGAUAUUUCCACAAGUGAAAUUAUUAGUUUCAUAAGGCACUUUCUCACACGAAGGUGAACCCCACUUACUAUACGUGUAAAGAGAAAUUUGUGAUACUAUCAAAUUUAUUUAUGAAAAUAUCAAUUCCCUUAUUAUUUUUCAAAAUUUCUGCAAUGUCUUAUAGCGAAAGUUCCAACUUUUCUUUCCUCCACUGAUCUCUGAAUUAUCCUGCAAUCUGCUCUAUUAUAUUUGUAACACCCCCUUCCCGAAAAGGAAAGGGAGGUCACGUGCAAAGCACAACAAACCUCAAAAAUAAGUAAACAUAGCACUAAUAACUUCAAAAUAUUAAUAGUGAUAUCCAUCAAUGAAGUACUAAAUACAAUUCUCCAAAUAGAGUCAAAAUAACCAAAACCAAAAUUCGAAACCACCUAGAUGGUCAAAGAUAACUCUCUCAUCACACUAGCCCUGAAUCACCCCUACAAACCUGCCGGAAGAAAAACACAGCAUGAGUCAAUUGCCCAGUACGGAUACAUAUAUAAAAAAGAUAUACAACUGAUAUACGAAAACAACUGAGACAAAAUACUGAACAAAGCCUCAAAUAUAAAUACUGACGAAAAUAUAUUCUCCAAAAAUCAUAAUGGAAUAUAUCUGAAUCAACAGAAUUGACGAAACCAAUAGAAGAAUAAAGAAAUAACGAACUAAAGCAACUAACUCAAUGAAUUGAACUUAACAUAAACAAAGAAAACUAAUGCAAUGAAAUAAUAGGCUGAAUCAAAUGGUUGGAUGUUAUUUCAUACCGAUAUUGAGCUCAGAAAUAUACAUUGCCACAUAGGCAAAUCAAAACAAUGUCACACAGGCAAGUCAAAAUAAUGCCACACAAGCAAGUCAAAUGAUGCCAAACAGGCAAGUCAAAUGAUACCACACAGGCAAGUCAAAUGAUACCACACAGGAAAAUCAAAUAAUGCCACACAGGCAAGUCACACACAUUGGACUGUGAAUCCAAAUGUACGCAAAUCGGAUAGGUGUGUUUGGCACAAUAUCAUAAAUUCGCAGAACAGAAAACUAGGGUUAACCCAUACGCCUACCACAACAAAACACCAAAUGGCCCACUUCCUCCGGAGCCCAAAACAGAGACGUCGUGGUCUAAUCACACCGCCACGGAAAGUGUCAUGCCUCUCCUGCCAAGACGACAUGCAUUUGGUACCCCCAUAUGUGGUUAUAGCUCAGGUAUACCUUACGCUAUAUUCUAACAAAAAUACUAUGUCAAAACACAUGCGACAUAAUACCAAUAAAAGGGUUCUAUAUGUACAUGUUGAACCAAAUCAAAUUAUAGUCACAAGGUCUCAAAAAGAAUGUAGCAACAUGUACCACUCUACAAUUAUCAAAAAUAAAUACUAAACAUGAUAUCCUAAUUCAAAAAGUACAAAUACGAGUCAUGUGUAUCAACUCCAAGAUGAAACUAAUAUAUGUAUUUCACGGGAAACAAUUAUGUGAAAUCAUAAUUCCAAAUAAGGAAACAAACGAACAAAUCAAAUUUAACAAGAGUACCGCUAAAAGAGUACGGAAUCCGUACCUAAAUCUAAUACCGAAAUAAUUUACUGAAUCCAAAUAUCGUCCGCUAGACCUUCUCAAUCCGAUCUAUAUAAUUAUCAAAAUAAAAUAUAAUACGUAUAAUUAAAUUAUGAACUUAUAAAAUUUUUAUUUUCAUAAAUUCAAUAAUUUUAAUAUAUUAUAUUUAAUUUGUACUCAAAAGAUAUAUUUUAAUUAUAAUAACAAUAUUAUAAUAUUAUUUAUUACUAUCCCAUUUUAGAGCUUCUGCAGAUCUUAUAUUGACUUGCAACUUAUAUUAUAUAACUAUAAGUUAUAUUAAAAAAAAUCUAAUAUACUAUAUAACUCCUAUAAUAUAUAAAGGCUGAACCAUGUAUGAAGACAUACUCCUAACAAAAGUACUGCAAAAAAAAUGAAUAACUCAUAUAUAUAUAUAUAUAUAUAUAUAUAUAUAUAUAUAUAUAUAUAUAUAUAUAUAUAUANNNNNNNNNNNNNNNNNNNNNNNNNNNNNNNNNNNNNNNNNNNNNNNNNNNNNNNNNNNNNNNNNNNNNNNNNNNNNNNNNNNNNNNNNNNNNNNNNNNNNNNNNNNNNNNNNNNNNNNNNNNNNNNNNNNNNNNNNNNNNNNNNNNNNNNNNNNNNNNNNNNNNNNNNNNNNNNNNNNNNNNNNNNNNNNNNNNNNNNNNNNNNNNNNNNNNNNNNNNNNNNNNNNNNNNNNNNNNNNNNNNNNNNNNNNNNNNNNNNNNNNNNNNNNNNNNNNNNNNNNNNNNNNNNNNNNNNNNNNNNNNNNNNNNNNNNNNNNNNNNNNNNNNNNNNNNNNNNNUAUAUGCUCUGAACAAUCUUGAUUCUAAUGCAUCGAAACAAAUAAACAAUAUACUCAUUAGUUUUAUGUACUAAACCCAUAUAAAAGAAUAGUUCAUCAUCUAAUAUAUAAAAAAAACUCAGAUCCUAAAUUUCAAUUCAAGAUUAUCGCAAUGAGUUGAAUAAUUAGGCGGCACAAAAAAAAUUGUCAUAACCUCUAUUGAAAUCAGAAUAGUAAAAUACAUAUCUGCAAUAAUUACCUUUUAGAAGAAGAAUAUGAUGAAUAAAGUCUUAAUAAUCUUGUUCUCAAACCCUUUUAAUUUCAGCCUCCGUUUAUCUCUCUCCAUCCACCUUUUCUUUCUUCGUUUAUUGCAGUACCAAUCUUAGGGAAACCCUAACUUAAUAUAUUAAAUUUAGGCUUAUUAUAAUUUGUUCUUAAACCCAACAAUUAAAAUUGGGCUCAACAAGUUUGACAACCCAAACUUAAAUACUUAGAAAUUAGUUUGACCCAAUUAGUUUAAAUGCCCAACUUAAUGUAACCACAUACUUAUAAUAUUUAACUUAAAUUAAAUACUCCCUCCUAUUCAGAUUAAAUGUCAUUUUAGAGUUAAGCACACUUAUUAAGAAAUAACACAAAAUGUCUUUUGUGUCCCUAAUUAAUUAUUUCUCUCUCCACAAUUGUCUCUUCUCAUUCUCCACAAUUGUCCCUAAUUAAUUAUUUCUCUCUCCACAAUUGCAUUUACUAAGCAUAUUAAAUAGAGAAGUAAAUUAGGAAAAAAUAGUGCAAUAUUGCAUAGAGAUUCCAAAACGACACUUAUAUAGAAUAAAAUUAAACUCCCUAAAACUUCAUUUAAUCUGAAUAGGUGGGAGUACAAUUUGACCAAAACUGCCAAACAUAAGAAAAGUCCAAUUUUAUUAAGUUAAUUAUUCAUCACUUAUUAAUACAUAUUAGCCCAAAUUAAUUAAAUUACAAGUUUGACUCAAAUAAAAGACAAAGUCCAAACAAUAUGUUGUAAGAAUAUAAUUUAUUUAUUUUUUUUAGGUAUUACAUUACCUAUCCCUUAAAAAAGAUUUCGUCCCCGGAAUCAAAAGAAUGAACGUAGCUAAUUAUCAAAAAGAUGCGAAUACUCCGCUAGAAUAGACUUCACUAUCUCCCAAGUAGCUUUCCGUUCCGAAUGAUUUUACCACAAGACUUUAACAAAAGGAAUUAUCUUCCUCAAUUUUAAUUUAAUCAGUUAUUUAAUUAUCUACUAAAAGAAUUUAAUUUUCCAAACAAAACAUGGAAGAAAAGAGGGAAACAAAAUCAUUUACCUUUUCCAAUUUAAAUACAAUUGUAUAAGAUAAAAUCAAUUAAUAUUUAAUUAUAUAUAAAAAAAUGGGUUAUUACAUUUUUCACCCCUUCAAAAUAAUUCCGUCCUCGGAAUUCAAAUAAUUAAGUUACUUAAAAUUUUGUUUUAGUUUUUAUUUAAAUUACAUAAUUAUUCAUAAACUUAAAUUAAGAUGUAGCGCCGCCAUUUGUAACGAUCAAGCCUGGCAAGUCCAUCGGUCCACACAAUUAUCCAUGUACUCGUAAAAGAUUCGUCAGUUAUCGUGUCAAGCCUUGGUAAGGUUCUUCGCGUUAUAUCACAUGAUACACUGUUGGUGNNNNNNNNNNNNNNNNNNNNNNNNNNNNNNNNNNNNNNNNNNNNNNNNNNNNNNNNNNNNNNNNNNNNNNNNNNNNNNNNNNNNNNNNNNNNNNNNNNNNUUGGUGCGGGCCCCCUGUUAAUAUCUUUGAGUUUCAUUCUUGCAAACGUAAGUACUCUUCGGAACCUAAUUCGAAAACACAAAAUUUUCUUUUCAUCUAACUACAAUUCGAAUACCCAAAAUAUUUAAAAUUAUCUUUAAUUCAAAUAAAUGUUUAUGUUCCACACAUGACAAAGAUUUAACAAAUUAUUUUUAUUUAAUUUUACAUAAAUUUAUGCAAAACUCUAAGGGCAUUAGAUAAAUGAAACAACUUAAAUUAUAUCACCUCUCACUAAGUCCUCAAGAGUUUCAAAAUAUAAUAACCUCAAAUCAAAUUAGUUCGCAAAUAAUAUUACACCAAAAAUAUAUACUAAGAUCUCUUCAUCAUCAUACCAAACUCCAAAUCAUAUAUCCUACUAUCUGAUUAAGCAAACUAUAGCUUUCAAAAUCUCUUAAAGAUUCAUCACUUAUUAUAUAUCUAACCAUUCAAUGAAUCAAUCAUUCUCUUAAUGCAAAUCUUAACCCAACAAUUCCAAGAUCUCCUCAUACUAUUACUCAAAAUUUCAUAUAAGAUAAUUCCAAUAUUCUACUAAGAAAUAAUCGCAAAAUUCAUUUACUUCAAAAGAUUAAUCUAAUUACCUCGAAUCUCUACAACAACUCAAAAUUACAAGAGAUCCUCUGUACUUAAUAGUUUUCACUUUAUCAUAUUAUCCCACCGAUUCACAUACCUCAAAUUAUUCACAACUUAACAAAAAUCAGAAUCUAAUCUAAAUCAAAUCCUCAAUUCCAAAAUCAUAAUAAUUUGUAAUUACCUGAAAUAACUCUAACAAAUAAUUCUCCAAUAUCAAAACUCGCUGAUACAAAUACACAUAUCAUAAUCGUAUAAUCAUUUCUUAACUGAACAAAAUAUGACAUUAUUCUCCUUAAUGAUCCAAUCACAAUCCUUAUCUAAUGUUAUUGUUCCAACGCAUAACAAUAAUAAUCUUAACAAAUUAUCUCCCUUUCUUAAAUAAACUACAACUCAAAGAGCUAAAAACACUUGGUCAAAAUUAAGACCAACCAAACAGAGAACAAAAUCGAAUCAAACUCCUACGUCUACCCAGUGAUUACCCAUAACUCACAAGUCAAACCUAAAUAGGUUUUCUACAAGAAAGAACCUAAGCUCUGAUACCAUAUGAAACAACCCGGGUCAAAUCCCGAGUUCGGAACAAAUCUUGGGUCAAAUCCCAAGUCCAAAUUGAAUCAUAUCCAUCAAAAUAAGGUCUCAAAAUACUGGCCCAAUAGUAUCUUCUUGGGUCAUCUUAGCCCACCACGGGCUCCCAAAAGGUCAUGACUUGAAGGUACUAUUGGUAGUAACUUAUUUCCUUAUAUGCAGAUAAAUUUUUCCCCUAUCUUUCGAUGUGGGACUGGGGUGUUACAAACUCCCUCACUUAAGUUUCUGACGUCCCCGUCAGAAUCCGAUCACACACACAACCCAAAGAUCUUUGCCUCUCUAGCCAUUAUGGAAAAAUAUCGGCUGGCUUCGUGUCCCCACCUCCGGACCUUCAUCUCUCCAUUGUGGGAUAAUACCAUCAGCCUUCGUGUCCCCACCUCUGGCAACCCGAUCGGAUGACCCGACCCGAGCUUUCGAGAGUUAGCUUUGAUACCAUCUCUGUAACACCCCCUUCCCGAAAAGGAAAGGGAGGUCACGUGCAAAACACAACAAACCUCAAAAAUAAGUAAGUAUGGCACUAAUAACUUCAAAAUAUUAAUAGUGAUAUCCAUCAAUGAAGUACUAAAUACAAUUCUCCAAAUAGAGUCAAAAUAACCAAAACCAAAAUUUGAAACAACCUAGAUGGUCAAAGACAACUCUCUCAUCACACUAGCCCUGAAUCAGCCCUGCAAACCUGCAGGAAGAAAAACACAGCAUGAGCCAAUUGCCUAGUACGGAUACAUAUAUACAAAAGAUAUACAACUGAUAUACGAAAACAACUGAGACAAAAUACUGAACAAAGCCUCAAGUGUAAAUACUGACGAAAAUAUAUUCUCCAAAAAUCUUAAUGGAAUAUAUCUGAAUCAACAGAAUUGACGAAACCAAUAGAAGAAUAAAUAAAUAACGAACUGAAGUAACUAACUCAAUGAAUUGAACUUAACAGAAACAAACAAAACUAAUGCAAUGAAAUAAUAGGCUGAAUCAAAUGGUUCGGUGUUAUUUCAUACCGAUAUUGAGCUCAGAAAUAUACAUUGCCACAUAGGCAAGUCAAAACAAUGCCACACAGGCAAGUCAAAAUAAUGCCACACAGGCAAGUCAAAAUAAUGCCACACAGGCAAGUCACACACAUUGGACCGCCAAUCCAAACGUAUGCAAAUCGGAUAGGUAUGUUUUGCACAACAUCACAUAUCCGCAGAACAGAAAAAUAGGGUUAACCCAAACACCUCCCACAACAAAACACCAAAUGGCCCACUUCCUCCGGAGCCCAAAACCGAGACGCCGUGGACUAAUCACACCGCCAUGGAAAGUGUCAUGCCUCUCGUGCCAAAACGACAUGCCUGUGGUACCCCCUCAGGUGGUUAUAGCUCAGGUAUACCCUACGGUAUAUUCUAACAAAAAUACUAUGUCACAACACAUGCGACAUAAUACCAACAAAAGGGUUCUAUAUAUACAUGUUGAACCAAAUCAAAUUAUAGUCACAAGGUCUCAAAAAGAAGGUAGUAACAUGUACCACUCUACAAUUAUCAAAAAUAAAUAUUAAACAUGAUAUCCUAAUUCAAAGAGUACAAAUACGGGUCAUGUGUAUCAACUCCAAAAUGAAACUAAUAUAUUUAUUUCACAGGAAACAAUUAUGUGAAAUCAUAAUUCAAAAUAAGGAAACAAACGAACAAAUCAAAUUUAACAAGAGUAUCGCUGAAAGAGUACGGAAUCCGUACCUGAAUAUAAUACCGAAAUAAUUUACCGAAUCCAAAUAUCAUCUGCUAGACCUUCUCAAUCCGAUCUAUAUAAUUAUCAAAAUAAAAUAUAAUACAUAUAAUUAAAUUAUGAACUUAUACAAUUUUAAUUUUCAUAAAUUCAAUAAUUUUAAUAUAUUAUAUUUAAUUUGUACUCAAAAGAUAUAUUUUAAUUAUAAUAAUAAUAUUAUAAUAUUAUUUAUUACUAUCCCAUUUUAGAGCUUCUUUAUAUCUUAUAUUGACUUGCAACUUAUAUUAUAUAACUGUGACGCCCCCAAAAUUGGUAUACAUCACCCAUCUUGAGUCGCCAAAUAUAUGGUACAAAAUUUAAAUACAACUUAAUAAUACAACUGUCGUGUAGAAUACGACAAGACAUAACUGAGAGUUUUAAUAAGAAUAUUGUCAUCUAGACAAUAUCCACACUCAAUGGAGUCCUCAUUACAUUUAUUGUCACACUAUUUAACAGAAUAGUGAGGACUACUAAUGCUAUCAUCUGGACCGUCACUCCGUUCCUCGACUAGUCCCGGCUACGUUCUCAUUUCCUGAAGAGAACAGUGAAAGAAAGGGUGAGCUCAACUAGCCCAGUAAGAAAUAUUAUGACUAAGAUAAUGCAGAAUAAAUUAUCAUUAGUCUUCAACAAUGUUAAACUGAUAAAAUACAAUAGACAUCAAGUUUAACUGCAGCGGAAUAAGCAAUCCAUUAGAAGAGUCAAGUAGAGCAUGAUAUCUACUAUCUUCUAUGAUUUAAAAUGUUUUCAUCAAUUUUUAUCGCUGAGACUCAGCUUAAUAAAUAAACCACAUCAUCGAGUCAUCCCUGCACUACGGGCCAAGGAUAUUCAUUAAAUCAUCAAUGGUCAUGACUAUACCGAAUAAUCCCUGGUCAUAAUCAUACCAAAAACUGUCCAUCAAUGCACUACAGGCCACUGAGGACUUUUACCACAUCAUUUAUAACAUUACAGGUCAUGAUUAUACCGAAUAAUCCCUGGUCAUAAUCAUACCAAGUCCAUCUAUGCACGUAAGCCAAAGAUGACUUUAAAUGACUUUCAACAUAUUAUAAACAUGAGGAUGAUGACAAGUCAAUAAAAACAAGUUCAAGAAUAAAUUUUAAAGAUUUAUAAGUUAAUUUAUCCUGAACUCAAUAAUGUCCAAAUUGUCAACAUGAUACUGCUUUGUGGAGUAAAAUUUAAGAAUGCUCAGAAGAAUAUUUCCAUGAAAAGAUACUGGAUGAAGCGCAAAUAUCAAGGAUAUUCCACUAAUUUCAUGGAGUAUAGAAGCCAAAACUUUAAUCAAUUGAGUAUAAUAGAAUAUAUGAAACCGCAAAUGGAUUUUUGCUGCCAUGCGGUAAUCCACGUAGACAGAUUAUUCCAACGGAAUAAUAAAGAAUGGAAUAACAGAAGAAUUCACCAGGCGUGCGUAAUCCGCACAGACAGGUUAUUCUAACAGAAUAAUAAAGAAUGAAACCAGGUCAUGCGUAACCCGAACAAAUAGGAUAUUCCAACAGAAUAAUAAAGAAUGGAACCAGGUCAUGCGUAAUCCGCACAGACAGGAUAUUCCAACAGAAUAAUAAAGAAUUGAACCAGGUCAUGCGUAAUCCGCACAGACAGGAUGUUCCAACAGAAUAAUAAAGAAUGGAAUAACAAUAGAAUUCACCAGGAAUGCGAUAGACCGUACAGACAGGUUAUUCCAACAGAAUAAUAAAGAAUGGAAUAACAGAAAAAUUUCACCAUGUAUGCGAUACUUCGCAUAGACAGGUUAUUCCAACAUAAUAAUAAAGAAUGGAAUAACAACCCUUACGAGUAUUGAAAGAAAAUAACUCUCUUCAUGAAUACGAAAGAAUAAUACCCUUUACCUUAAAAAGAAGAGUAUUCCGACUGGUAGGGCGAUGAUAUUCUUGAAGAAAACUUAUACUGUUUUCUACGCUCAAACCUUCUUAAAACUCUAAAGAAAUACGUUCAAGAUUAUAGAAGAAGAAUUCUCUGAAUUUCUGGUGUGUUUUUCAAUUCUAACUAAGCAUCCUAUUUAUAGAAGAAUGAAAAGGAUAUUAUGCUACAUUAUACAAUAAAAUAUAAUAUAUUCUAUUUAUAAUCAAAUAAAACAAAACUUUAUAAAAAGUAUUCUAUUUUAUAUAAAAAGUUUUUACUAUGCAAACACUAUGCAUAAUAAAAUAUAAUAUAUAUUCUAUUUAAAAUCUAAUAAAACAAAUAACUUUAUAAAAGUAUUCUGUUUUAUAUAAAAAGAUUUUACUAUGCAAAUACUAUGCAUAAUAAAAUAUAAUAUAUUCUAUUUAAAAUCUAAUAAAACAAAUAACUUUAUAAAAGUAUUCUAUUUUAUAUAAAAAGUUUUCUGUUUUAUUACAUUUAUAAUAAUAAUAAAAAAAACUUUAUCAUAAUUAUUAUAAUUCACAAUAUUAAUCAAUGAGGUCGUUCCUAGGAAAGAGGGGGCUUUCCAAUAAGGAUUUCUCCCUAUUUGCGUGCAAUUAAGUGACCAAACCUUUCCUUGACAGAACUUCUAGACAUCGUUAAUAUUGCAAAUAAUAAUAUUAAUAACUUUGUCAUCUCAACUAUUGAUUUAAUAAUAUAUAAAAUAUUGACAAUAAUUGAAUCAAAUAACAUGAGAUACUAUGCAACAAUUACUGCAGUAAUAAUUGAACAAAACUGAGUGACUUCUCACGUAAGCAUCAAUAAUCAAUACCGUGUGCUACUAUGCAACCACGCGUAUUACUGUACUUUUAACACCGGGUGUUUCAAUAGUUAACGAUAAAACUUUCGCCAUUAUUUUCAUAAAAUAUUUUUAUCGUUUUCUCAAUCCGGCAAUAAUUCCGUUAUGGGGUCCACCAAUGAUUGUGUCGUUGUACGAAUAUUCCCUGUUAAAACGAAUAUUCCCCAACCAAUCGAAUAUUAUAUAAUAACUUGCAUACUUUGCAAAAUUUAUAAAUAUUACCCACAACUAUAACAUUAUAUCAAAUUCAUUCCAUAAUAUUCAAAAAUGAUAUUUAUAGAAAAUUCAUCUUUAUUCAUAAAAUUUGGGGUCUUACAAUAACUAUAAGUUAUAUUAAAAUAAUCUAAUAUAUUAUAUAACUCCUAUAAUACACUACACCAAAAAUGGCCUCUAGUGAAGGACAAAUCCUUCACUAAAGGCCCUAUAUCUCUCACAAGUGAUUUAUUGCGAAGAAAUAUUUCCUUCACACGAGUGCUCGCAUUAGACUUCCUCGCAAUUGGGUAUCAUUCGCUAAGUAGUAACUAAAUAUUUUUUGUGAAGGACAUAUUGUGAAUAACUUAUUCCUUCACAAAUUGUAUUUAGUAAUGGAAUAUUGUUAUUUAGUGAAAGAUUGGUUUCCUUCACAAAUAAUAUUUUAAGAAGGACUAUUUGAAAUUAGUGAAAACUUGAUUCCCUCACAAAUAAUAUAUUGUGAAGAACAAAUUUAUUUAAUGAGAGAAUAUUUUCCUUCACUAAUUAUAAAUUGAGAAUCUUUUUUCAAAUUAGUGAGAUAAAAAUUCCUUCACAAAUUAUAAAAUUGUAAAUAAAAAAUUAAUUGCUAAAUAAUCAAAAUUCAUUGAAAAUUAUAAUUAAUUUUCAAAUCAAUGAUUUCAUAUUUAUUAUUAUUAUUAUUAUUUUUAGUAAUUGCUAUAAUAAAUAUUAAAUUUAAUAUUUCAAGUAAAUAUAAAUAUAUUCAUUUUUGUUUCAAACUAAUACAUAAAGAGCUAAUAAAAUCAAUACUCAACAUAUAAAUAAAUAAUGGUAGUCACAAUAACAACAAAAUUUAUUAUUGUAUCUUGAUCUCCUAAGGACCAUAGUACCUACAAUAUUUAUUAAGUAACAUAAAAAAACUGAAAGAACAAGAAGUAGAAUCUAAAUUUCAGAUACAACAAUGAUGUUCAUGAGUUUCUCAUACGACUGACACUGAAAAGUCAUCUUAAAUAUACUAUUCCAAAAACAUAAAUCCAUUAGAGAUUGAUCAUGAUCAAAAGGAACGAUACUUAGCAGUGUCAGUAUCCUUAACUACAAGUUGCAGAGCACGUUUAAUUGUUAACCAAUUGCUUUUUGACUCCUGCAAGGCAAAGUGGAGUCAAAUAAAUUAUAAUCAAUGAAGCCUACUUAUAAUAAACUGAAGCAGCUUUAUUGAUAAAUUCCUCCCGAAUUAAAAAAGAACUGAAUUGUUUCCUAAGCAAUCCAGCUGUUUCUAAGUUACUCAAGAGUAGUCAUGUGCUCAAAACCAUAGCUGUGAAGAAGCUCUCUCCUAAACCAUGAAUUUAAUAUAUAAAAGGAUCAAGAGGAUAUUAAAAUUUUCAAUAAAAUAAAAUAGGCAAAUGAAUUUACCAAGUUAGGUACCUAACAAGAAGGAAAAAGUUACUGUAUUCUUUCCCAUACUUGCCUCAAAUAGUCAAAAUUCUAUUUGGGUAACCCAGAAUUUGUAUCGGAAAAUAAAAUGAGAAGACGUAAGACAUUGACAAGAAGCUCCUGCUUAUGAAUCAUUUCUUCAAUGUACUCGAAGCAUCUGCACCAUAGACAUCAUUAGUCCCUUGCUCUGAUACUUUUGGCAUCCACAAGAACAAGGAUAAUAUAAGCAAGUAUGUACAUUUAGAUGCCUAUCUUUUGAAGCAAAACAUUCUAACAAAACCAUGUUUUUGUAUCUCUGAGUAAAUUUUUACAUCAUAAAAGAUAUCUUAUAAAGUUGCCUUAUUUUUUGUUAUCACAUAAUUUAAAGAGAUCCCCNNNNNNNNNNNNNNNNNNNNNNNNNNNNNNNNNNNNNNNNNNNNNNNNNNNNNNNNNNNNNNNNNNNNNNNNNNNNNNNNNNNNNNNNNNNNNNNNNNNNNNNNNNNNNNNNNNNNNNNNNNNNNNNNNNNNNNNNNNNNNNNNNNNNNNNNNNNNNNNNNNNNNNNNNNNNNNNNNNNNNNNNNNNNNNNNNNNNNNNNNNNNNNNNNNNNNNNNNNNNNNNNNNNNNNNNNNNNNNNNNNNNNNNNNNNNNNNNNNNNNNNNNNNNNNNNNNNNNNNNNNNNNNNNNNNNNNNNNNNNNNNNNNNNNNNNNNNNNNNNNNNNNNNNNNNNNNNNNNNNNNNNNNNNNNNNNNNNNNNNNNNNNNNNNNNNNNNNNNNNNNNNNNNNNNNNNNNNNNNNNNNNNNNNNNNNNNNNNNNNNNNNNNNNNNNNNNNNNNNNNNNNNNNNNNNNNNNNNNNNNNNNNNNNNNNNNNNNNNNNNNNNNNNNNNNNNNNNNNNNNNNNNNNNNNNNNNNNNNNNNNNNNNNNNNNNNNNNNNNNNNNNNNNNNNNNNNNNNNNNNNNNNNNNNNNNNNNNNNNNNNNNNNNNNNNNNNNNNNNNNNNNNNNNNNNNNNNNNNNNNNNNNNNNNNNNNNNNNNNNNNNNNNNNNNNNNNNNNNNNNNNNNNNNNNNNNNNNNNNNNNNNNNNNNNNNNNNNNNNNNNNNNNNNNNNNNNNNNNNNNNNNNNNNNNNNNNNNNNNNNNNNNNNNNNNNNNNNNNNNNNNNNNNNUCUGAUAGAUAUGAAUUUUGAAAAGUGGCAUGCUACUUGAUUGCUAAAAACUUGAAUCCUAUUCAGACACAAUCACCAUGAGGAUGACAAUUUUUCUGGACACCACAGAGUACAUGCCUCUCCUACCUCAACCUUCAGUAAAUAAGAAAGCUCAAGGCUUUGGAUCAAAAAUCUAAAAUCUAAAAACAUUUAUAUAAAUAUUAUGAAAGGGGCACUUAAAGAAGGUCGAGAAAUCAUCUUCCUAUAAUAGUGGCAUAGUUCUGGUUGAAAUAGUAAUAAGAGCUCACUAUAUCAAGUGUGACUCUAUAUGUUUUAACUAUGAGGGCAAUCAUAGUUUGCAAUUUUGCAUAUUUAGGGAUUUCUAACAGUCUAAACUACCUCCCAAUGCUCGUCAGGAGAAAUGCUAAUUGAAAGUUAUUUUACAAGGGGAAAACCCGACAGCUACACUGCAAUACAGAAUCUGUCAUCAAAUUGAUCAACAAGGGUCAAGGAAACAACUUCUGCCAAAUGAUAAGACUUCAUAACAAAUAAUCAUAUAAUCUUUUCUAACCAGCAAAGAUGUUGAUAUAAGGAAAAGCCAUUAUCCAGUAUAAUUGUCUGGAACAUUUACCGGAGAUCCUGACUGGAAAAAUUUUGUAUAGUGAUUUUUCUGUGCAAUGAUUACAACAAACUUUGGGCACCAUUUCUCAUCAAGGAACUUGCAGUCCUGUAUAAUUUAAAUAGAAGGGUGUACAAUUGCAUAUUUCCUUAUAAUACAAAAGAAAAAACAAGGAGCUGCAAUUUGGGAAAAUCAAGGCAGCCACCCAAUUUGUACUAGUGCUGGCAAGAGAAAAUGAGUAGAUUAAAUGGCCCUGGGUAUGAUUUUGAGGGUUUAGAAAACAAAAGAAUGCCGAGUUAUGUGCAUCCAAAGCUUAGGCAAAUUCGUUCGUGUAUACUUACUGUAUGGUGAGAGUUUUUAGUCUGGCUAUUUGGAGAAUAAACUUCUUGGCCACCGUAGUAGAUUGAUGAGCUGAAAUAGCAUGGUUCUGCUGUUUCAUUUUGGUAAGUGAUGCUCCUGUCUUUGUUGUGUUUGCUACCACUUUCACCAUAUAGUUUGACACCUUUUUUCACACCCUAAAAGUGGCUUGUUGUAGAGUAAAUUACAAUUUCUUUUCUGGGCUAACCAAUGUCUGGAAGUUCCAGAAAUUAAAAUUAAUGAAACAGACCUUAAGUCAAGAGCCUUCAAUUGAUUAACUUUUAUGGUAUGAGUAUAAAGAUGAUGAUGAUGAUAUAUAGGUCAAAAGACCCAAAAGCUACAAGCAAUAGAAAAACACACACAUGAAUGUACAACUCGAAAUACUAAAAUUCGUAUAAAAUGCGUUAUUCUCCAUUCCUACUUAAACUGUUCACAUAUACACACACACACAUGAAUGUACAACUAGAAAUAAAACAUUGAAAACAUAAUUCAAAUUGAGAUUCAAAUCGUUUAGCAAAGAGAAACCAUCCUUCCAAAAUAUACCAGGAGGAAACAUAAAAAAAUAGAUUAAGAGCUGAUUUUAGACUAGCAAAAGAAAGGAACUAAUUUGGGCAAUAAUGUUUUCUUCUUAAUUUUUUCAGAGUCAAAUUUACAAAAUCCUGACAUUCAAGACUGAUUUUAGUUUAUUUGAUUUUGAUUAAUAUAAUAAUCAAUAUUGGAAACUAUUUAAGAAGUACCAAGUACAAAAUCUCAUUUUGAAAAUCCAAAUAAAUUCAAAUUACAAUUUGAAUUUUAAGAUUUCACAAUUUGGUAACAUCAACAAAGGGAGUACAAGAAAUAUCUCAAUGCAUUGAAUAACAAAAAUUUAUAAAACACAUUACACAAAUGAAUAUAUAGAGAGACAAAGUGAGAAGGGCAUGCCUGGAAACCAUUGCGAUUCAACUGUUUAAUAGCAACAUCCAAUUUCAAAUCAUUAUCAUCCGAAACCCUAACUUCUCCUCUGUAAACGGAACCAAACCCUCCCUCUCGAAUCUAAGCUCAGGGACCGAACCCAGGACACCUUGGACGACCUCAAAACGACGACGUCAUCGUCGUCUCUCGCCUCUUCGUUGGUGAAAUGAAAGCACUUCAUAGUAAUUGAACGGAAGAUAAACAGAUCCGUAACGAAUUUUUUGAAAUGAACAUGAAGAAUUCUGUAAAAAUAAUUGAAGCAAAGCCUGGGCAAAAUGAAGCAAAAGCUUGGGCAAACCCUAGGAGAGAGAAUCACAGAAAAUGGAAGGGAGGAGAGUAGAGAAUCGGAGCAAAUGGAACCGUGUUUGGGAGGAGAGAAGAGUAGAGCCCUUAUGCGUGAGUUUUGAUUUGGGAGGAGAGAGCUGGAUCCGUGUUUUGAUUUUAGAACAAAUAGCUUAAUACGACGUCAUUUUGAUAUACUGUGUAAACAAAAAGUUUACAAGGCUGUAUAGUGAGUAAUAAUUCCUUCACUAAAUAGAUUUUUUCCUCGCAAAUUUUCAUCAUAAAUUGGCUCCAAAAAUCUUUCUAUCGCCCCAAUUUUGCGAAGAAAAAAAUAUAAAUUGUGAAGGAUAUUUCUUUCGCUAAUAACUAUAUUGUCAGUAUACUUUUUUCCUUCACUGUUCCUUCGCUAAACAACUCCUCGUGUGAAGGAAUAAAUUCCUUCACAAAAUUUCCUUCGCUACAUCCCUAUUUUGGUGUAGUGAUAUAUAAAGGCUAAACCAUGUAUGAAGACAUACUCCUAACAAAAG